GACGAACGCUGGCGGCGUGCCUAAUACAUGCAAGUCGAACGAACUCUGGUAUUGAUUGGUGCUUGCAUCAUGAUUUACAUUUGAGUGAGUGGCGAACUGGUGAGUAACACGUGGGAAACCUGCCCAGAAGCGGGGGAUAACACCUGGAAACAGAUGCUAAUACCGCAUAACAACUUGGACCGCAUGGUCCGAGCUUGAAAGAUGGCUUCGGCUAUCACUUUUGGAUGGUCCCGCGGCGUAUUAGCUAGAUGGUGGGGUAACGGCUCACCAUGGCAAUGAUACGUAGCCGACCUGAGAGGGUAAUCGGCCACAUUGGGACUGAGACACGGCCCAAACUCCUACGGGAGGCAGCAGUAGGGAAUCUUCCACAAUGGACGAAAGUCUGAUGGAGCAACGCCGCGUGAGUGAAGAAGGGUUUCGGCUCGUAAAACUCUGUUGUUAAAGAAGAACAUAUCUGAGAGUAACUGUUCAGGUAUUGACGGUAUUUAACCAGAAAGCCACGGCUAACUACGUGCCAGCAGCCGCGGUAAUACGUAGGUGGCAAGCGUUGUCCGGAUUUAUUGGGCGUAAAGCGAGCGCAGGCGGUUUUUUAAGUCUGAUGUGAAAGCCUUCGGCUCAACCGAAGAAGUGCAUCGGAAACUGGGAAACUUGAGUGCAGAAGAGGACAGUGGAACUCCAUGUGUAGCGGUGAAAUGCGUAGAUAUAUGGAAGAACACCAGUGGCGAAGGCGGCUGUCUGGUCUGUAACUGACGCUGAGGCUCGAAAGUAUGGGUAGCAAACAGGAUUAGAUACCCUGGUAGUCCAUACCGUAAACGAUGAAUGCUAAGUGUUGGAGGGUUUCCGCCCUUCAGUGCUGCAGCUAACGCAUUAAGCAUUCCGCCUGGGGAGUACGGCCGCAAGGCUGAAACUCAAAGGAAUUGACGGGGGCCCGCACAAGCGGUGGAGCAUGUGGUUUAAUUCGAAGCUACGCGAAGAACCUUACCAGGUCUUGACAUACUAUGCAAAUCUAAGAGAUUAGACGUUCCCUUCGGGGACAUGGAUACAGGUGGUGCAUGGUUGUCGUCAGCUCGUGUCGUGAGAUGUUGGGUUAAGUCCCGCAACGAGCGCAACCCUUAUUAUCAGUUGCCAGCAUUAAGUUGGGCACUCUGGUGAGACUGCCGGUGACAAACCGGAGGAAGGUGGGGAUGACGUCAAAUCAUCAUGCCCCUUAUGACCUGGGCUACACACGUGCUACAAUGGAUGGUACAACGAGUUGCGAACUCGCGAGAGUAAGCUAAUCUCUUAAAGCCAUUCUCAGUUCGGAUUGUAGGCUGCAACUCGCCUACAUGAAGUCGGAAUCGCUAGUAAUCGCGGAUCAGCAUGCCGCGGUGAAUACGUUCCCGGGCCUUGUACACACCGCCCGUCACACCAUGAGAGUUUGUAACACCCAAAGUCGGUGGGGUAACCUUUUAGGAACCAGCCGCCUAAGGUGGGACAGAUGAUUAGGGUGAAGUCGUAACAAGGUAGCCGUAG
RNAcentral lists this ribosomal RNA (1512 nucleotides) under Lactiplantibacillus plantarum. RNAcentral's name for it is "partial 16S ribosomal RNA". It matches the Rfam family "Bacterial small subunit ribosomal RNA". Lineage: Bacteria; Bacillati; Bacillota; Bacilli; Lactobacillales; Lactobacillaceae. RNAcentral also lists the same sequence under 1 other name. The record is from RNAcentral.